Molecule: unclassified non-coding RNA, 329 nt
Filed under: soil metagenome
Description: partial contains 5.8S ribosomal RNA, internal transcribed spacer 2, and large subunit ribosomal RNA
Rfam family: 5.8S ribosomal RNA (bases 1-120)
Source: RNAcentral
GAUGAAGAACGUAGCGAAAUGCGAUAAGUAGUGUGAAUUGCAGAAUUCAGUGAAUCAUCGAAUCUUUGAACGCACAUUGCACCCCUUGGUAUCCCGAGGGGCAUGCCUGUUCGAGCGUCAUUUCACCACUCAAGCCUGGCUUGGUGUUGGGCGACGUCCCCUUUGGGGACGCGCCUCGAAACGCUCGGCGGCGUGGCACCGGCUUUAAGCGUAGCAGAAUCUUUCGCUUUGGAAGUCGGGGCCCCGUCUGCCGGAAGACCUACUCGCAAGGUUGACCUCGGAUCAGGCAGGGAUACCCGCUGAACUUAAGCAUAUCAAUAAGCGGAGGA